This 407-nucleotide ribosomal RNA is filed under the name uncultured bacterium. RNAcentral describes it as "partial 16S ribosomal RNA". It matches the Rfam family "Bacterial small subunit ribosomal RNA", at positions 30 to 526 of the family's 1533-position model. The record is from RNAcentral.
AUUGAACGCUGGCGGCAGGCCUAACACAUGCAAGUCGAGCGGAACGGCUGACGGGUGAGUGAUAACUAGGAAUGUGCCUUGUCGUGGGGGAUAACGUUCGGAAACGGACGCUAAUACAGCAUACUAUCAGAUGAGCCUUGGUCGGAUUAGCUAGGUGGUGAGGUAAUGGCUCACCACGGCUACGAUCCGUAACUGGUCUGAGAGGAUGAGCAGUCACACUGGAACUGAGACACGGUCCAGAAUCCUACGGGAGGCAGGAGUGGGGAAUAUGGGACAAUGGGCGAAAGCCUGAUCCAGCCAUGCCGCGUGGGUGAAGAAGGUCUUCGGAUUGUAAAGCACUUUAAGUUGGGAGGCGUUACCGACAGAAUAAGCACCGGCUAACUACGUGCCAGCAGCCGCGGUAAUAC